Pangasianodon gigas (Mekong giant catfish) is the source of this 73-nucleotide non-coding RNA. Lineage: Eukaryota; Metazoa; Chordata; Actinopteri; Siluriformes; Pangasiidae. The record is from the annotation of a GenBank genome assembly.
GCAGUCGUGGUCUAAUGGUUAGAGAGUCAGACUUGCAACCUGAAGGUCAUAGGUUCAAGUCUCAGGUCCAGCA